Syzygium oleosum is the source of this 1327-nucleotide long non-coding RNA. RefSeq lists it as uncharacterized. The record is from RefSeq and is a predicted model, not a curated record. NCBI's taxonomy places the organism in Eukaryota, Viridiplantae, Streptophyta, Magnoliopsida, Myrtales, Myrtaceae. The transcript has 2 exons.
GAGUCCCUCGUGAUUUUUACCCAAGCCCAUCAGUGUCCCAGUCGAAAGGGCUUGAAAGAGACAGACAUCAGAAUCAAAGAAGACCCGACAUGAGUUGUCUUCACAAAGUUUGGACACGGAAAUGAGAUUAAAGUGAAAAUCUGGAAUGAAUAGAAUGACUUUGAGUGUGAUGGAAGAAUUUAGCUGAACAUUUCCAAUUUUAGCGACGGAAGUGUCACUUCCAUUUGGAAGACGUAUGGAGGUAUGAGGGGAAGACUUGUUAAUUUUGAAAAAGAAACGUUCAUCGCAGACUAUAUGGUCACUAGUACCUGAAUCAAUAAUCCAUGCCUUUUUCGAAAUGGCGCUCAUCAAACAAUAGGAAAUACCUCAAUAACUGGCCGUUUUGUCUUGUAUUCCCAUCUGAUUUAAAGCCCUCAUAAUUUGUUGAAACUGAUCAUUAUUAAUGGGCUGGUUGACCUUGGCAUGUGCUGCGACGGAGAUAUCUCGUUCCUUUUUAUCUGUCGGCUUCCUAUGCAAUUUCCAACAAUCUUCUUCAGUGUGAUAGGGACAUUUGCAAUAAUCGCAAAAUUUACCUUUUCCUUUGUUGGAAUUGCCUUUGUUUGAUGAUGUGGCAGAAUUUGGGCGACGAGAUCCUUUCCAGGCAGGUGAUGACGUGGCAUGAUGUGCGCCAUCUGAUUUGGGCAUGGCGAGAAUUAAAGAUGGACCAUCUAAUCUCGCUGAAGAACCUCCACCAUCUGAUCCCAUGAUGAAAUCAUGCCUGUUCGUUUGAUGUGAGAGUCGAGUGUAUUCUGGGCCGUCCGAUUUAGUGAACAAAUCAUGGAUGUUCGCUGGAAAAGAAGACAUUCCAUCUUCUUGAUCCUCGAGAAACCCUAUUGGGUUUCGUGAGCCUCCAUGGCUGGACCUCGACAAGAGUGGUCGUUGCUCCGGCGAGGCCUUGGCUGCGAGAACAACGCGAUCACCCACUUUAACAUACUCCGACGAGGCCAAUCAUUGAGAUUCCUCCUGAACCGCAAGUUGGUAUAUUCGGCCGAGCGAGGGGACGGGUUCCAUGGCCAAGAUCUGGCUCCAAAACGGAUGUUGGCAUGCGGAAGUGUUGAAAUGCGGAAGCUAGGCUAAGUAGGGAGGCUAUGAUACCAUGUCAAAAGUUUAGAGGAUGGAAAGCGAUUGAAGAUUGGAAUUGUGUAUUGCUUUCAUACAUAACAAUGUGUAAUUACAGCCCUAUUUAUAGUACAAGAAGUCUAGAUGAUUAGGGAAAGAAAAUAUACAUAAUAAAGAAAAAAAGAUUCCCUAAGAUUGCCUGAUAUGCAAUAUUCUAAUUUUCCACCAA